UGUUGAAACUGCCCUUUGGGUGGUUUCCUGAAAAAAGGAUUGCCUCAUGGCUCUCGACGUUCAAGAAAAAGCACAAAUCGUUGCUGACUACCAGCAAGCUGUU
Non-coding RNA from Pseudomonas sp. ABAC61, 103 nucleotides. The record is from Rfam. NCBI's taxonomy places the organism in Bacteria, Pseudomonadati, Pseudomonadota, Gammaproteobacteria, Pseudomonadales, Pseudomonadaceae.